This is a non-coding RNA of Anas platyrhynchos (mallard), 1257 nucleotides long. The record is from RefSeq and is a predicted model, not a curated record. NCBI's taxonomy places the organism in Eukaryota, Metazoa, Chordata, Aves, Anseriformes, Anatidae.
AGCUGUUUCGAAUCACUGAUAAUGGAGCUGCAGAUUGUCCACCACUUCCUCUACUGUACAUUUUCAUCAUGAGAAGCUUGAAUUCUCACAAUCUUCUGGUAUCUCAGAUGAUACAAGGCUUCUCUUUAACUGACCGAUGCUCGUGCGGUGCUGAAGCUGUCCAGGUCGCUGUGUGGUGCUCCUGCUGUCACGUCGCAGGAGAUGAGGAAAUGAGGAUGCUGGGCUCGGGAAAGGAAAGCCUUUGGGGAUGUUUGUAGCACCACUUCCCAUUCCGCAGUACUGAAACCUUUCGUAGCUGGAAAUGCAGAACCCUUCUCCUGCAGAGUAUUGGCUUUGAUAAAAACAUGAGAGAUCUCUUUUAAUGUCACAGCAGAGACUGGUGAUGUUUGACACGUGUAGGAGAAACAGAUGUAGAAAAUAGAUUUGGGGAGACAGCAGAUCAAGUAAUUUAGCCAGUUUAAAAUGAUUUAGGCAUCAUCUCCCUCCAACGCUGUCUGGGAAACUCCUCUGACUUGCACAGUUGAAGACUUGCUCCCAGUAAAUAAAUACAUUAUUUCCGCCUUCAUUUUUUCCAGUCAUUCAGAUCUCACCCCAUUAAUAGUGAAGAUUUUGGAAUGUCAAAAACUUGGAGUAUCUGCGUCUCGGAGCUGUACAAUAGGUCUCUGUGGCAGGCGGGCCCUGAACCCAUCUUUCUGCAUGGAGGUGUUGGAUUUGCCCUGUGAUUCUCAUAGCCUGCACAGCACUGUGAGGGGCUGUGCCUAAAAAACAUUGCUAAAUUUAAACAACAGCUUCUUCAAGAAGCUGAAUGAAUUUCAAGUUUAAAACAUUACAUUUGGCUUUUUUUUUUUUUUUUUUUAACUUGUGAAUUUAGUAAGAAACAAGUAGCAAUGACCCUUUCAUUAGAGACAAAGGGAAGUGUGUAUAAAUGUCUUUUGUGGCUUGGCAGUAAACUUGCUGAGGACAACAUAAAACGUGCUCAUUAAACGUUCUUUAAACAGUAUUGCUUUUUGUUUUCAGAAGCAAUGUGGUGUUUCAUCCCACCAUUAAUUGCCUAAUACCAAUUAUGGCAUAAACAAGCCAUUUGUUAUUGUAACUUUUUCCAUGUAUUUUUCAAGGUUUUUACUCUUGACACCUAUUAUGCAUCCGGGAACAGAAGUGGCUUUUGUCAUGAAAUCUAAAUAAUGAGAUCAGUAAUCAACAGUUUUACAUAGACAAUCUUGUACUAUAAAUGCUACUGCAGCUCUUGAGAACUUUACA